AAGCCCAGAGCUUGGAACCACGG
RNAcentral lists this non-coding RNA (23 nucleotides) under Cricetulus griseus (Chinese hamster). The record is from RNAcentral. Lineage: Eukaryota; Metazoa; Chordata; Mammalia; Rodentia; Cricetidae.